This 450-nucleotide long non-coding RNA is filed under the name Marmota monax (woodchuck). The record is from RNAcentral. Lineage: Eukaryota; Metazoa; Chordata; Mammalia; Rodentia; Sciuridae.
UGGCCAGGGACUUUCUCCCGUCUGGCCAGCCAGAUCACCUGCUCAUUUUGUUAUUGUUUGUAAAAAUUUGUAACCCAUCCCUGCGUGUUUGUUCCGAAGAUUGGGAAUCCUACAUUCAAGGCCUUUCUUUCACUUUGUUUUAUUCCGUUUUGGACGAACGAUGGGUAAACUACCGCGCUUCGAGCCAGGCAUGUAAGAAGACAGCUAUGCCCGUUAGGCCCCCGACCCGACGCGGCAUAAAUAGCUCCGGCUUCCGUUUGCCUACCUCUUUGUGCUGUGGACCGGUUGGUAGUAGGAGUCCUUUCGGUCCGCGUGGCGUCUUCCGCGGAACCUGCCGUUCAGUGUCGGGAAGGCACAGGGCACACCUUUGGUGUAGCAACCCGCCUGCAGGUACGCGGGGGCCUUGCUGGGAAAAGGGGACCGUAGACUUGGGCUGAGCGGGAUGAAUAC